Molecule: non-coding RNA, 67 nt
Organism: Bombyx mori (domestic silkworm)
Lineage: Eukaryota; Metazoa; Arthropoda; Insecta; Lepidoptera; Bombycidae
Source: Rfam
GGCCUUAUGUAAGCUUUGUAAAGUGUCACCUUGUUCCGAAGGGACACUUUACUCCGCUUACAGAUCA